CGCGUGUGUGAAGAAGGCCCUCGGGUUGUAAAGCACUUUCAGUGAGGAAGAACGCUUGCGGGCCAAUACCCCGCAAGAGAGACAUCACUCACAGAAGAAGCACCGGCUAACUCCGUGCCAGCAGCCGCGGUAAUACGGAGGGUGCGAGCGUUAAUCGGAAUUACUGGGCGUAAAGCGCGCGUAGGCGGCGUGAUAAGCCGGUUGUGAAAGCCCCGGGCUCAACCUGGGAACGGCAUCCGGAACUGUCAGGCUAGAGUGCAGGAGAGGAAGGUAGAAUUCCCGGUGUAGCGGUGAAAUGCGUAGAGAUCGGGAGGAAUACCAGUGGCGAAGGCGGCCUUCUGGACUGACACUGACGCUGAGGUGCGAAAGCGUGGGUAGCAAACAGGAUUAGAUACCCUGGUAGUCCACGCCGUAAACGAUGUCGACUAGCCGUUGGGGUCCUUGAGACCUUUGUGGCGCAGUUAACGCGAUAAGUCGACCGCCUGGGGAGUACGGCCGCAAGGUUAAAACUCAAAUGAAUUGACGGGGGCCCGCACAAGCGGUGGAGCAUGUGGUUUAAUUCGAUGCAACGCGAAGAACCUUACCUACCCUUGACAUCGUGCGAACUUUCCAGAGAUGGAUUGGUGCCUUCGGGAGCGCACAGACAGGUGCUGCAUGGCUGUCGUCAGCUCGUGUUGUGAAAUGUUGGGUUAAGUCCCGUAACGAGCGCAACCC
Molecule: ribosomal RNA, 714 nt
Filed under: Halomonas nitroreducens
Lineage: Bacteria; Pseudomonadati; Pseudomonadota; Gammaproteobacteria; Oceanospirillales; Halomonadaceae
Description: bacterial SSU rRNA
Rfam family: Bacterial small subunit ribosomal RNA
Source: RNAcentral